CCCCUAGACGUUCUGGGCUGCACGCGCGCUACAAUAAUACGCACAGCGAGUAUCACCGAGCUCGAAAGGGCGAGGUAAACAAUAGAAAAGGUACUGUAAUGGUUAUAGAUCCUUGUAAUUAUUGAUCUUCAACGAGGAAUUCCUAGUAAGUAUGUGUCAUCAUCACGCACUGAUUACGUCCCUGCCCUUUGUACACACCGCCCGUCGCUCCUACCGAUUGAGUGAGCCGAUGAAACUGCCGGAUGUGGACUAUUCAUAGUCUGCAGAAGAUAUUUGAAUCGUAGCGCUUAGAGGAAGGAGAAGUCGUAACA
This 311-nucleotide ribosomal RNA is filed under the name uncultured eukaryote. RNAcentral's name for it is "partial 18S ribosomal RNA". It matches the Rfam family "Eukaryotic small subunit ribosomal RNA", at positions 1470 to 1796 of the family's 1831-position model. The record is from RNAcentral.